RNAcentral lists this non-coding RNA (21 nucleotides) under Caenorhabditis elegans. The record is from RNAcentral. Lineage: Eukaryota; Metazoa; Nematoda; Chromadorea; Rhabditida; Rhabditidae.
UUUUAUUUGCUGGAAAAUAUU